AUACGAAAGGUGCAAGCGUUGUUCGGAUUUACUGGGCGUAAAGAGAUCGUAGGUGGGUCAUUAAGUCGGAUGUGAAAUCCCGGGGCUCAACCUCGGAACUGCAUUCGAUACUGGUAGACUAGAGUUUGGGAGGGGUAAGCGGAAUUCCGUGUGUAGCAGUGAAAUGCGUAGAUAUACGGAGGAACACCUGAGGCGAAGGCGGCUUACUGGACCAAUACUGACACUGAGGAUCGAAAGCGUGGGUAGCAAACAGGAUUAGAUACCCUAGUAGUCC
RNAcentral lists this ribosomal RNA (274 nucleotides) under uncultured bacterium. RNAcentral describes it as "partial 16S ribosomal RNA". It matches the Rfam family "Bacterial small subunit ribosomal RNA", at positions 523 to 796 of the family's 1533-position model. The record is from RNAcentral.